Molecule: long non-coding RNA, 661 nt
Filed under: Mytilus galloprovincialis (Mediterranean mussel)
Lineage: Eukaryota; Metazoa; Mollusca; Bivalvia; Mytilida; Mytilidae
Source: RNAcentral
ACUUCUUCAAUAAACAAAUAUUGACUGUUUUUUUUUUAAUUUCAGAGGAAUUUUCAAACUCGUCCACUAAUAUCACAAAAGAAAAAUCAAAAAUUUCUGCGACUGUUUUAACAGGUAUAUUCGAAUGACCGUAAGAAAAAAGGGGAACUUCAAUAUGAAGAUUAACAACUGUAAAAUUAUUCUGCUUUUUAUAACGACACUUUGUGGUGUUGUUUAUUUUUGUUGAACAUAUUGACUGAAAAAUGUAGGCACGUAAAACAAUUUAGCCAUAAGCAAUGUCGGAUAAAACAACGGUUUUCUAUUGUAAGGAACGUGUUUAAAAAAGUCGAAACUAAAAACAAAGUUGGCAGAAAAAUAAAUCAGCGAUAUUAUGGAAAGAUGUUUUCGAUAAGUUGUUAACCCAUUUGAAAAAAACAUAACUGCAUUCUUAGUUGUUAUUUUUUUAUAUGGAUUAGACAAUUAUAGUCAGAGAGAUUGUAUAUUCGUUUUUGAAUGGGAACUGAUCGUAUAAAAACGCAGACAUUAUCGAGUGCAAAAUAAUAGUCCUUGGCGCUUCAAGGAAUACUCAUAAAAAACAUUUUUUAGAACAUAUUAAAAUAAUUUAAUUUUGGAUGUAACGCGUCUUCUGAUUGGCUGACGUUAUUUUGUUAUGAGCCCAUAG